RNAcentral lists this long non-coding RNA (506 nucleotides) under Salvia miltiorrhiza (redroot sage). RNAcentral describes it as "long non-coding RNA (SMIL_LNC010156)". The record is from RNAcentral. Lineage: Eukaryota; Viridiplantae; Streptophyta; Magnoliopsida; Lamiales; Lamiaceae.
CUGCCACAAAUCUUCAAAACAGCCGCACUCCUCCAAAGUCAAAAGAGAAAAGAAAGAAAGAAUUAAAACCUAAAAUCCUAAGUGAAGUAAUCGUGUAGUGCUCAAAAGGGUUGACCAAAUAAAACUUAAAACUCUCCCUAAAUAUAUGUGGCUGUGUGGUGUUAUUCGAAAUUAAAAUCUAACACCAAUAUAUAUACCUAAUCUAUGUGGCUAUUAUGGAAACAAAAAUUAGGGAAUUAAUACUCCCUUAAGCCACCGCCUCUCUAAUCCUUACGGGCUUCGGCCCUUAAUAAAAUCAAACCCAAAAUACUUAAAAAUAUGAGUUUUGGACUUAAUUAAAUUUGGAACAAUUAUCUUCAAGCCCAAUCUCUAAAAUUCCUCCAUCUUUCAUGCGAUUCUUCAUAAAUUCUCGAAUUUCCACCAUCUCUUCCAUCCACGAGCCUCGACUCUCCUCCAUGCAAUUCCUACAUCAAUCACACCACAAAUUGGAUAAUAUCUCAUAAUAA